Musca vetustissima is the source of this 236-nucleotide long non-coding RNA. RefSeq lists it as uncharacterized. The transcript has 3 exons. The record is from RefSeq and is a predicted model, not a curated record. Lineage: Eukaryota; Metazoa; Arthropoda; Insecta; Diptera; Muscidae.
GGUCGGUACCCAAGCGGAUUUGCGUACAAAUACCAAUGUACUGAAUAAAUUACAGUCUAAUGGUGAACAACCAAUCUCGUAUGCAGAUGCCUGGGACCUGGCAACUACAAUUGGUGCAAAAUAUAUUGAAACUUCAUCAGCAACACAGGAUAAAGUUAAAGAAGUCUUUGAUACAGCCAUUUGGGAAGGCUUGGCACCAUCUAUAUUACCACCCACACCAGCACCAUUAUGGAAGA